AGAGUUUGAUCCUGGCUCAGGACGAACGCUGGCGGCGUGCCUAACACAUGCAAGUGGAGCGACGAACCAGGGCUUGCCCUGGGGCGAAGCCGCGAACGGGUGAGUAACACGUGGGUAAUCUGCCCCGAUGACCGGGACAACCCGAGGAAACUCGGGCUAAUACCGGAUGCGCCCUGCCGGCCCAAGCCGGCUUGGGGAAAGGAAGCUUCGGCCUCCGCAUCGGGAGGAGCCCGUGGCCCAUUAGCUUGUUGGUGAGGUAAAGGCUCACCAAGGCAACGAUGGGUAGCUGGUCUGAGAGGACGAUCAGCCACACUGGGACUGAGACACGGCCCAGACUCCUACGGGAGGCAGCAGUGGGGAAUCUUGCGCAAUGCGCGAAAGCGUGACGCGGCAACGCCGCGUGGGGGAAGAAGGCCUUCGGGUUGUAAACCCCUUUCAGGAGGGACGAAGGUUCGGCGGUGAACAGCCGUCCGGACUGACGGUACCUCCACAAGAAGCCCCGGCUAACUACGUGCCAGCAGCGGCGGUAAUAC
RNAcentral lists this ribosomal RNA (533 nucleotides) under uncultured bacterium. Its description in RNAcentral is "bacterial SSU rRNA". It matches the Rfam family "Bacterial small subunit ribosomal RNA", at positions 8 to 526 of the family's 1533-position model. The record is from RNAcentral.